RNAcentral lists this ribosomal RNA (253 nucleotides) under uncultured bacterium. RNAcentral's name for it is "partial 16S ribosomal RNA". It matches the Rfam family "Bacterial small subunit ribosomal RNA", at positions 524 to 776 of the family's 1533-position model. The record is from RNAcentral.
UACGGAAGGGACUAGCGUUGUUCGGAAUUACUGGGCGUAAAGCGCACGUAGGCGGAUUUGUAAGUCAGGGGUGAAAUCCCGAGGCUCAACCUCGGAACUGCCUUUGAUACUGCAAAUCUCGAGUCCGGAAGAGGUGAGUGGAAUUCCUAGUGUAGAGGUGAAAUUCGUAGAUAUUAGGAAGAACACCAGUGGCGAAGGCGGCUCACUGGUCCGGUACUGACGCUGAGGUGCGAAAGCGUGGGGAGCAAACAGG